This 164-nucleotide ribosomal RNA is filed under the name Thinopyrum intermedium. RNAcentral's name for it is "5.8S ribosomal RNA". It matches the Rfam family "5.8S ribosomal RNA". Rfam says of the family: 5.8S ribosomal RNA (5.8S rRNA) is a component of the large subunit of the eukaryotic ribosome. It is transcribed by RNA polymerase I as part of the 45S precursor that also contains 18S and 28S rRNA. Functionally, it is thought that 5.8S rRNA may be involved in ribosome translocation. Lineage: Eukaryota; Viridiplantae; Streptophyta; Magnoliopsida; Poales; Poaceae. RNAcentral also lists the same sequence under 1 other name. The record is from RNAcentral.
CACACGACUCUCGGCAACGGAUAUCUCGGCUCUCGCAUCGAUGAAGAACGUAGCGAAAUGCGAUACCUGGUGUGAAUUGCAGAAUCCCGCGAACCAUCGAGUCUUUGAACGCAGGUUGCGCCCGAGGCCACUCGGCCGAGGGCACGCCUGCCUGGGCGUCACGC